This 367-nucleotide RNase P RNA is filed under the name Deltaproteobacteria bacterium. RNAcentral's name for it is "RNase P RNA component class A". It matches the Rfam family "Bacterial RNase P class A". From Rfam's summary of the family: Ribonuclease P (RNase P) is a ubiquitous endoribonuclease, found in archaea, bacteria and eukarya as well as chloroplasts and mitochondria. Its best characterised activity is the generation of mature 5'-ends of tRNAs by cleaving the 5'-leader elements of precursor-tRNAs. The record is from RNAcentral. Lineage: Bacteria; Pseudomonadati; Myxococcota; Myxococcia.
AAAGUAGAUCAAGCAAUCGCUCUCCGCCUCAGGCGGAGAGAGGAAAGUCCGGACUCCAUAGGACAGGGUGGCCGCUAACGGCGGCUCCGAGAAAUCGGGGGAAAGUACCACAGAAAAUACACCGCCCACCGUUUGCGACGAUGGGUAAGGUUGAAAAGGCGAGGUAAGAGCUCACCGGUCCAUCAGUAAUGGUGGAUGCUUGGCAAACCCCACCCGGAGCAAGACCAAAUAGGAGGGUUGGGUGGUCCGCCCAUAGCCCUUGGGUAAGGUCGCUCGACCCCUUGAGUAAUCAGGGGGCAAGAUGAAUGAUUGCUGUGACUUCUAUUAAUAGUCACUACAGAAUCCGGCUUACCGAUCUACUUUAGCC